Monodelphis domestica (gray short-tailed opossum) is the source of this 10100-nucleotide non-coding RNA. The record is from RefSeq and is a predicted model, not a curated record. Lineage: Eukaryota; Metazoa; Chordata; Mammalia; Didelphimorphia; Didelphidae.
GGCUCCGCCUGGGAUUCCUUCCUAGCUUGGGAGAUCUGGGCAGAGCUUGGGCGAGCUGCUUGUCGAACACAGUGAAGCAGGUGCCCGCCAUCCCCAUGUCACCAUGGGUUUCUGUGUGUCUACCUUGCUGUGCCCGUCUAGGCAUUUGGGUGAAGCAUGUGUGACUGGCCUCUCCCAAGCCCCUGCUUUGUGCUAGACUCUGCCCAGCACCUCGCUAUGUGCCUGACAGCUCUCUGUCCAUAACUGCGGCUCUCCCUCUCCCCUCGGGAUCUCUCCUGUGACCACUCCUUUGCCUGGACACCGUCCUCCUAGCUCUGCAGCAGCUCUUUCUCAACUUGCCAGAAGCACCUUUGGGUGCUCGGUUUUUGCUUCCUCCCCUCCUCGGAGGACAGCUGGAGUCUCGCUCUCUCUGCGGGGCUGAAUGAGGGAGCCUGGAAGUUCUGGGCCUGUUGAAGGUGAAGAAAAGGCAGCAUCGCGCUCCGAUUGGACCAUCGAGCUCCUUUUCCCAGUUUCCCUUUCCCGGAAGUGUGGCCGGAAGUCUUUUUGCCUUCAGAGGAUCAAAACAAAGGCCAGAACUUCCCGCAUUGCUUGGGAUGUCUCGGAAAAUCGGGCCGCUGCCCGCCAUGGCAGUUUCCCAUUGAAUGGGCUAUUUUCUUUAUGCGUCUCUGGCCACACGGCCACAGAACAGCUGCCAAGUUAAUGGGGUCGCCCUGUUCAGCCUCCCCAUAGAAACCUCACCGGGGAGGGUCACUCUUGUUUUCAUCUCGGCUUUCCUCCCGGAUCGGAAAGAUUCCAAACAGAAAAUCAUCAUUUAAUGGCGGUUUCUGUCCGCGCCAUUAGAGCGGGUCCUGCAAAUAUUGACUGAGGCUCCUCCUGAUGCUCGCUUCUUCUUUAGCCAAUACUCGGAGGCCAUCUGAGAGCGAUAGGGGACGUUGUGUCAACAGGAGCUCAAUGCUUUUUAAAUGGUUUGUUAGUUGCCUAACAAGCUGUAAAUGCGUUUUUAGAGGAGCAGGAAGCAUGUGCUGCAGUGCAGAGUGGUGGCCCUUUUUCAUCAAGAGAUGAGAGCAAGAGGCAGAGAGCAGCCCACGACAGAGAGGGCCAGGCCUGCAGUAGAGAGGAUUUCGGUUCCGGUGUGGCCUCAGACACUUCCUUGCUGUGUGAUCUUGGGCGAGUCACUUACCCCAUUUUCCUAGUCUGUGCCCCUCUGCCUUAGAGUUGUUACUGAGAAAACAUUAAAAUAAAAACCAAAGAAUGGAGCGGGUCCAAGGGUCUCAUUGUCGGUCAGGGUCACAUUUUGGAGCCCCCUUUUCAGAAGUGGGAGCGGCCUUUCACCAUCACUGGACCGAAUGCACUAUGGCGAGAAGAAAUUGUUUUUAAGUCACGAGAAUCAGAAAUGCCAUAGAAACCAUUUUCUUCAGUUGUUUUCCAGGCACAUCUGACUCUCUGUGAUGACAUUUAGGGAUUUCUUGGCAAACACACUGGAGCGGUUUGCCAUUUCCGUCUCCAGCUCAUUUUACAGACGAGGAAACCAAAGGAAACCAAAGCAAACAGGGUUCGGCCAUUCGCCCGGGUUAUAGAGCUAGUCAGUGUCUGGAGGCAGACUUGAACUCGGGGACAAGAGCUGCUUGACUCCAGAUGGGGCAGUUUAUCCACUUGUGCCACCUGGCUGCCCCCAGAAGGACCCUCUUUCACGUAUCUCUUCCCUAAAUGGUCGUUUCCUUGUCUCCCUCUCACCCAGCAGAAUUCACCUUUUCUUUUUCUGUGUCAGUAAAAAGGAAAUGAAAAGAUUGAAUGUCAGUUUAACUUUGGGCUGAAAAGGACCAGGGAAGACAGAGGCAGAACUCGGAAUGGAAGAAUCUUUGAACUGAGAAUUCUUCAAAUCAUUACAAGUUGAGGCUCGAAGGAUCUCAGUACACUGAGACGAGAUGCCAGAAAACACCCAACAAGUGAUCUGCUCUCUUUGCCCUGAAGACUUCCAUCAGGGGAGAACGCACUUCCUCUCCAGACAAUCCAUCCUACCACUGAAUCGUUGUGUUGCUUAGGAAGAAUUUCCUUCCAUGUCCUUCUGCCUCAUUUGCCUCAUCUAUAAAAUUACCUGGUUUAACUCCGCGACCCCUCCCAAAUAAACACUUGUUUUCCGAUGAUCCGAAGUAGGAAUCUGCUUUUUUGCAAAUUCUACCCAUUGUUUCCAGAUCUUCUGGGGUGAGGCAGAACGCUUCAUGUGGCAGCUGCUUAAAUUCAAGAAGGGGAUUCCUGUAUGGUGACUCCUUAACCUCCAGAUCUUCUCUUCAGUCCAAUCAACUCAAUCUCUUCCAUCAGAGAUAGGCUGGAACCCUUUCUAGUCGUCUCAUUUUUCUGUCUCUGAACCUUAGAAAUGUGGGCUUCCUAAAAUGUGGCAUCUGCAGCUGGUUUCAGCCUUUCAGACAUCCUCUGAAGUGGGGCCAUUAGGUUCUUGGAGGGUGGGGGACAAUGUUAACUUCUCUUGACACAUCCCACUGCUUCUCCUAUUGACCAUCGAAUCACUUCACUGACCGCAAGAUGACUUUCACACCCCCUAUUGACUUCCCCUCCCUCUCUUAUGCCCUCCAUUUUUGUCCAGUGGUUUUUUGGAAUCUAGAUGCUUAAUGUUGUCUUCAUCCUCUAGAUUUCCUCAGCCUUCAAAUGUCUCCUCUUUUCUUCUAGCCUUUAUACCUAGGUGAUCACUGACUCGAUGGCAUUCAUAGAUGAACAUCAUCAUUCCUUGGGGAACAAAAGCUACUUCUUCCCUACAUGGUCCAGCUUCCCCUUUUCUAGGACAUUCCUCACACCUAUCACUUGAUUCCCAAUGGCCAGUGGUACUUCUUUCUGUUUUUGCUCUGUUAUUCUUCAUCCUUCCUUUCUCUUCCUACAAUGUAAGGUUUCCUAUGGCCCUUCACAUCCUUUUCUUUCUUUCUUUUUUCCUGAAGAUCUGCUUCAAUUUUACCAAUGAAAAAUGUAUAAUAAAUGGGAGAAGACACAUAGGAGGCAGAUAGGUGAUUGAGCGGCUAAAGCUCUAGAUUUGGAGUCAAGAAAACCAGAGUUCAUAUCUUGUCGCAGCUAUUUUCUUGACUGGUUAACCCUAAAUGUCCCCAUCUGUAAAAUGAAAAUAAUAAUAGCCUCCAUUUCCUAGAGUUAUCGUGCGGAUCAAGGAACUAAUACUACAAAGUGCUCUGAAAACAUCAAGGCGCCAUAUCAACACAACUUCUCAUUAUUUUCCAGCCUUUUCACUGACUCAGGAAGAGACCUAUUUAGAAUUUGGGAAGGGAGAUGUGUUAUUUGACGAAACUCAAACACAGCAAACAUUAUGCAGGUCUCUGUAAAAUUCUUGAUCACCAUGGUUUUGUGCAGCAAGAUUUCCAGACCUUUGUGUUUCUGCCAGUGGACUACUGCCAGGCUCUGGCUAAUGACCUGGGUGCAGGUAAUAUUUCACCAUUAGCUUUGUUUAUUCUCCUUCAAUCGGCAAUCAUUAUAUUCCUUUUGUACCCUAAUUUAUUCAAUUUCCAGGAUUUAUCAAAUGAAAUGGAAGUAUUCAAAUUGUUCCCCCUUUUUCCAGUGAGUUUCAGUGAUAUCCCUAGACAUCUCUUCUCCCAUCUGUCCUUUGCCCUGAGAAACCAGGGAGGCAGCAUGACAACCUGGUUGCCCUCUGACUUGGUGCAUGAUGUAAAUAUGCCAGGAAACAUAUAAGAGCAGACCGACUCCAGCCUCAAAGCCCCUGAUCGAGCGGCUCUGAAACGACGCGCAGCUGCAUAUAUGUACUUAUCUGUAAGGGUAGAGGAGAGUGGAAAGCAACGCCAUCUUCCUUUGGAGCCUCGAUCGUCAGCCCUCUACCCAAGUCCGUGGCCGUUCCUGUUGGAUGCGUAACGUAAUGGAGACAGUGCUGUGCUCGGACUCAGGCAGACCUGGGGAGAAAUCUUACCCUGAAACUGGGCAGCCAUUUGGCCAGACAAGCCACUUUAGCUCUGAAGCCCACUUGUUUCAUCUAUAAAAGAGGACAAAUCAUAUCCCUCCUCUCGGAGGUUUACUGGGCAGCCCAAAUGAAAUCAUGGAAAUGACCGGCUUUACGGACCCAAGCGUUUUAAUGAAUUCCAAUGGCUAUGGCAUUAUUACUUAGAGAAGCGCGAUGUAUUGGAGAGAUACCCAACAGCAAAGUCCAGCCCUGGUAAUUUCCAGAAUCCAGCAAUAUCAAAGGUAAAUGUCUAUGCCAAUUGAUAUUGCUAUUAGUAGAAGCAAUGUCCCAGGUCUCAAUGGAAAUGUAUGGGUUUAGCAUUCAUACAGUCAAGCCCUGUAGGGGCAUAUGUACUUAUGAAGAAAAGGAGUGAGUAUCUUUUAAACCUUUACUUUGUACAGUCACUGAUCUAAGAGCUUUACAAACCUUAUUUCACAAUAGCCCUAUAAGGUAUUUACUCUUAUUUUCUCCAUUUUAUAAUUUAAGAAACUGAGGCAAGCAGAGCUUAACUGACCUAUCCAGGGACACAUAGCUAGUAAGUGUCUGAGACUGGAUUUGAGCUUUAGUCUUCCUACCACCCGAUCUGCUGCUCUAUCCACUGCACCACCUAGCUGCCUAUAAGUAAUUUUAUACUCUCAUGAAGUCCCCACUCUUUUUGUUUGGCUUUGAGCAUCUUACAUGUCCUGCCCUCUUCCUACCUUUCCAGUCUUCUUGUACCUUACUUCUUUUUUUUUUAAUUAUUUAUUUUAAGAUAUUUUUCCAUUGUUACAUGAUUUAUGAUCAACCCCUUCUCUCCACCCUCCUGAAGCUGACAAGCACUUCCACUGGGUUUUACAUGUAUCAUUGUUCAAAGCCUAUUUCCAUGUUACGCACAUUUGCUCUAGAGUGAUCUUUUAGUGCCAAAAUCCCCAAUCAUAUCCCUUUCUAACCACAUGAUUGAUCCUAGGUUUUUCUUCUGUGUUUUUCCUCCCACAGUUCUUUCUCAUAAGUUCUUUUGGAUUGUCCUGAAUUGUUGAAUUGCUGCUAGUAGAGAAGUCCAUUACGUUUGAUUGUCCCACAGUGUAUCAGUCUCUGUGUACAACGUUCUCCUGGUUCUGCUCCUCUCACUCUGCAUCAGUUUCUGGAGGUCUUUACAGUUCACACAGAAUCCCUCCAGGUCAUCAUUCCUUUCAGCACAAUAGUAUUCCAUCCCCAUCAGAUACCACAGUUUGUUCAGCCAUUCCCCAAUGGAAGGGCAUCCCCUCAUUUUCCAAUUUUUGGCCCCCACAAAGUACACAGCUAUGCAUAUUUUUGUACAUCUUUUUCCUUAUUAUGUCUUUGGACUUGUACCUUCUAUGAUCCAUGGAUCCUGCUAUCCUUGCUCUUCCUUGAACAAAACAAUAACAAAUUUCAACACAUCCUCCACAAUUAUGAUUCAAAUCAUCUCCCUCAUUCCCUCCUGGAGAUGGAAAGCAAUUUGAUCUGGGUUAUACAUGUGUGAUCCUGCAAAACAUACUUCCAUGCUGGUUUUUGUUUUAAGACAAUGCACAUAUGAAACCAAAACCCCCAAAUAAAAACACACACUAACAUGAGACAUAAUAUGCAUUGAUCUUGAUUCUGACUCCAACAGUUCUUAAAGAAGCCUUUCAUGAUGUUAGAUUAUCUUGAAUUAUCAUGGAUAGCUUGCUUAGAAAUCACUUAUUCCCCGUUUUCUCCCCAGUAGACUGAUAGCUCUUGGAAGAUCAGGGAAUGUAUCUUGCUUUUUUUUUAUAAGCCCAAGUAUUUGUCACAACACCUGACAAAAGUGAAUCACUCAAUAAAUGCUUGCUGGCUUCCCAAAGAGGAAUCUUUGCUCUGUUGAUAAUUUCUGUCAUCAAUACCUUAAUAAUUCUGACAUGCCCAAUAUCACUUAUGGGUCCAGAGGAAGGUUUUAGAAAAUGACUCAAAUCCCUGUGAGGCCCUUCCUUUAGCCAGUUUAAUUUUGUUGAAUGUGUUUGCAAAUGUGUUUCAUGAUAGCAUUUUUCAAAGACUGUCUCCUAGGCUACAGUGGGGCCAUGCAUUUCCUAUAGAGAGGUGAGGACCAGUCCUGACAAAUCCUGGGAAUACUGAAGAAAAUGAUUACAUACGAAUGCUUCUUAUUCUGUUCUUCUCAUUUUGCAUCAUGCUGUGUAAGGCUUCACAUCCACAUAAAAAUGUUAAAACUUUAUAAGGGAAUUAAAAAAAAAUUCUUUUGGUCAUCCAUAAGUUCCUUGUAAUAUCUUGUUAUGACCUUGCAUUCCUAUAAUAAUUGGCAGCUAGGUGGCUCAGUGGACAAAGUGCUGGGUUUGGAAUCAGGAAGAUGAGCUUUCAUCAAUUCAAAUCUGGCCUCAGACACUUUCUAGUUGUGUCACCCUGGGCAAAUCAUUUAAAACUAUCUGCCUCAGUUUUCUCAUCUGUAAAAUGACCUGGCGAGGGAAAUUAUAAAGCACUCCAGUAUCCUUGCCAAGAAAAUGCCAAUUUAAGAUUCAGGAAAACAAGCAAAUGCUGGUUACUGAAGUCCUUGACACUGUCAAAUGAUGCUGCAUCUGAAAGUAAUAUGAUUUUUUCAAUGGAAAUGUCAUUACAUAAGAAAUAUUAGCUUCUACUUUGCUGCUAUACCCUAAGGACCUAGGGACUUCUUCAUCUGAUUUGAAUCUGAAAGCUUCCCCAUGUGCUAUCUCUCCCUUUGGAAUGUGAGCUUCUCAGACAUCUCUCAAGAGCAAGGAAUGCUAUUUUCUAUUUAUAUUCCUAGAAAAUAACAUAGUUCUUUGUAAAUAAUUGUUGUGGCUCAUUCGUUUUCAGUAAUGCCCAACUCUUCCAAACUCCUUUUGGGUUUUUUUUUUUUUGACAAAGAUACUGGAGCUAUUUGUCAUGUUAUUCUACAGAUUAUUUUACAGAUGGGGAAGUGAGGGAAACAGAAUUAAGUGAUUUGCCCAGGGUCACAUAGCUAGUAAAUGUCAAGGUCAGAUUUGAACUUAGGGAGAUGAAUAUUCCUCAUUACAGGUCCAGUACACUAUCCAAUAUUCCAAAUCUAAACUUUAUAGGUAGUAAGUGCUUAAUAAAUGCAUCCUCUAUGCACCCAUCUAUCCAUCCAAUCAUUCAUCCCAUCAUCCACCCAUCCAUCCAUCCAUCUAUCCAUCCAUCCAUCCAUCCAUCCAUCCAUCCAUCCAUCCAUCCAUCCAUUUAUCCAUGCAUGCAGUCAAUCAUCAAUCUAUCCAUCCAUCUAUCCAUCUGUUCAUAAAUUCAUUCAUUCAUUCAUACAUUCAUUUAUAGGUAUGCUCUACCUUCCUCAUUAAACUCUAACCUCAAAAAGGCCAGGGAAAAAACCUUAGUCAUCUUUCUUGAGAUUCUUCAGAUCUUCAAGCACAGGGAUUUGCAAGAAAUCAGCUCCCAUUAAUAAUUUGUUGAAUGAAACCAAAAUAAAUUGUUAGUUUUCUUUUUCCCUUUGUUUCCUAGCACAGUGCCUAGAACAUAGUAGGCACUUGCUAGAUGUUUCUUGACUAAUUGUUAGAUAUCCAUGGACAUUAUUCCAUAAUCCUCCAUUGGGGUGGGAAGAUGACUAUGUUCUUGACAGUUCUUCUAAUAGUCCAGUUUAUGGAAGUCCAAACAAGGUGAUGGCUAAUUUUAGUACAAGCCCAUUGCUUGAGAUACUUAACAUGUUGGCCACACUUUUAAUGCAUUUUUAUUUCCUUACAAUGAAUUUUGGAGACUAUUUCCUUCCAAAUGGCAGAGUUAAUGUCUAGAAUAGGUAAGGGAAAACCCGCAUGGAUGAAAUCAUGACUCCCCAAGUAAGAGCUGAUAGACAUUCUCCAAGGUGCAAACAGACAAGAUUACUUGCCAAAGCUAAGAUAUCAAUUAAUUUUUCCAUUUGAGGAUGUUGUGACUCCUUCACCCUAGGAGAUCCAGUCAGGAUGCAAGUCUACUCCAAACCAUACUUCUAAAGUUAUCAUUCUAUGGUGUCUUACUGUCAAAGGAGUUUAUCUGUAAUACUUGCCUAUGAAUUUUUUAAGGUCAAAAUAAGCUUUUCCAUGGACUAGAUCUAUGGAAUGUCGAACCAAGUCUUUUUCCAAAUACUUAAUUAAAUUCUAAAUACUUUCUUUCAAGAAAAUCAUUUUCAGUUCCAAGUCAUCAUCCUCCUUCCAGAUUCACUCCCAUCCAUUGAGAAGAAAUAUGGUAUUCAUUAUACAUAUGAAAUCAUUCAAAAUAUAUUUCCAUAUUAGCUAUGUUGUUUAAAAAGAAGAAAAAAUGCUUCAAUCUAUGCCCCGAGCUCAUUCAGUUCCCUAUCUGUUGGUGGAUAGUAUUUUACAUCAUAUAAACUUUGGAUCAGAGAUACUAAGAUUUUCAAAUUUAAUUAUCUUUAAAAGCUUCUGAUACUGUAGAUCAUGUUAUCCAAGUUCUACUCGCAUUACUUUCAAUCAGUUCAUAUAAAUCUUCCUAUGUAUUUCUGAAACCAUCAUUUUUUAUUUUUUAUGGCACGGUAAUAUCACAUCAUUUCAUGUACUAUAUAACUCAUUCAGUCAUUCCCACACUGAUGGGCAUGUCCUCAGUUUCCAAUUCUUCGUCACAACAAAAAGGAAUUAUUAUUAAUAUUUUUGAAUAUAUGAAACCUUCCCCCUUUUUUGUUGAUCUCUUUGGGAUACAAACUUAUCAUGGCAGUCCAUGAUUAUUCACAGAUUAUGGGCAGUUUUUUAACCCUUUGUGCAUAGAUCAAUUAAGGAAUGAAAUUAUUAUUAUAAAUCUGGCUCACUUUUCUACAUAUUUGUAAAAUUAUAUCCUUAUUGGUGAGAUUGGCUGCCAAAAAAGAAUUCUCUUUUUUCCCUGUUGUUCUAAUUGUAACUACCUUGCUUUUGUUUAUGCAGAAUCUUUUUUCAAUUUUAAGUCAUCAGUUUAUUUAUUUUACCUCCUAUGAAAUUGUCUAUCUCUUGUUUGUUCUCAAACACUUCCCCUAUCUAUAGAUGUGGAAGGAUAUUUAUUCCACACUCCUUUAAUUUGCUUAAGAUAAUACUUCUUAUGUACAAAUCAGAAACCUAUUUUGAGGUGGUAGGUGGUCUUAGACGCUGGACUAUGAAUUGUUUUUCCCAGACUGCUUUCCAGCUUUCCCAAUAUUUUUAAAGUGAGUUUUUGCCUGAAUAACUGCACUCUAUGGGCUCAUCAAAUAGUAGCCUACUCUCUUCCUUUUGUUCUUUAUGUUCUAUACUGACUCUAUUCCAUUUAUUAACCAACCAUUCUAUUUCUCAUUCAUUACCAAUUGAUUUUAAGGAUUAUAGCUAUUUAACAUUCUUUGGAGUGUGGUACUGAUAGUGCCCCUUCUUUCACAUUUUCCCCUUCAAUUCCAUUCAUAGUCUUGACUUUUUAUUCCUUCAUAUGAAUUUUAUCAUUUUUUCUACUUCUGUAAAGUAAUUGUUUUGAAGUUUAAUGGUAUCAUCUUGAAUAAGUAAAUUAAAGUGCAAUUGUCAUUGUGAUUAUAUUAGCUUGGCCUUCUCAUGAGAAAUUAAUAUUUAUACAGUAUUUAGAUGUCUUGUUUUCUGUUUUUUGUAAUUGUGUUCAUGUAGCUCCUGUGUGUGUUUUCUCAGGUAGACUCCCAAGUAUUGUUUUUAACUGUAUGUAGUUAUGUUGAGUGCAAUUUUUCUUUUUAUCUCAUUCUGCUUCAUUUUGUAGGAAAUAUACAGAUUUUUGUGGGUUAUAACCUGUAUAUUUACUCAUGUGGCUCAUGUGUUUCAACUUAUAUUUAGUUGACUCUAUGAUUACCUAAGUAUACCCUCAUAAUAUCUGCAAAAAGAUAGUUUUGUUUCCAUGUUACCUAUGAUUAGUCUUUCAUUAUCUUUUCUUCGUAUUAUUGCUGUAGCUAGCAUUUUUAGUACAAUAUUGAAAAAUAAUGGUGAUAAUAUACAUCCUUGCUUCACCUCUGAUCUUAUUGGGAAAGCUUCUAGUUUUUCCACAAUGCAGAUAAUGCUUGCACUUGGUUUUAGAUAGGUAGUGCUAAUCAUUUAAAAAAUCAAUAUUUAUUCCUAUGUGUUCUUGUGAUUUUAAUAGUAAUGGAUUUGCUUUUUUCUGCAUGUGUUGAUUUAAUCACAUGAUAUUUGUUACUGCUAAAGUCAAUUAUGCUGACAGUUUUCCUAUAUUGAAUCAUCUCUGCAGA